UACAGAGGGUGCGAGCGUUAAUCGGAAUUACUGGGCGUAAAGCGCACGUAGGUGGCGACGUAAGUCGGGUGUGAAAGCCCCGGGCUCAACCCGGGAAUUGCAUUCGAGACUGCAUUGCUGGAGUACGGAAGAGGAAGGCGGAAUUCCCGGUGUAGCGGUGAAAUGCGUAGAUAUCAAGAGGAACACCUGAGGUGAAGACGGGUUGCUGGGCUGACACUGACGCUGAGGCGCGAAAGCCAGGGGAGCAAACGGG
Molecule: ribosomal RNA, 253 nt
Filed under: uncultured bacterium
Lineage: Bacteria
Description: partial 16S ribosomal RNA
Rfam family: Bacterial small subunit ribosomal RNA
Source: RNAcentral